UACUCUCAAGUUGCUUUCGUGUGUUUGUGUUUUUGUAGAGAAACUAAAGAUGGCUGACAAAUCCCAGACUCAGAAACCUCAGCCAGAAAGCUGGCGAGGCCAAAGCCCAUGAUCAGAUGAGCAAGGACCAGAUGAUGGAUAAGGCAACCGGUGCUGUCAAUUCUGGGAAGCAAUCAUGUCAACAGUUUCAACCCUUUUUCCCCUACACAAUUAUUUUUUCUGCAGCCAAACAACUUUCAACUAAUUACUGGUCAGCAAAUGAAAUCCAAGGCAGAAGGAGCUACGGAAUCUGUCAAGAACGCAAUGGGCAUGAACAAAUGAAAAUUAUAAUCC
Long non-coding RNA from Macadamia integrifolia, 333 nucleotides. RefSeq lists it as uncharacterized. The record is from RefSeq and is a predicted model, not a curated record. NCBI's taxonomy places the organism in Eukaryota, Viridiplantae, Streptophyta, Magnoliopsida, Proteales, Proteaceae. The transcript has 3 exons.